AUGAAUUAGGAUAAUAAGUUUAUUUAUUCCAUUACAGGGAAUUGAAAGUUUUGUACAAUUCAAAAUUCAUUAA
RNAcentral lists this transfer RNA (73 nucleotides) under Erianthus versicolor. RNAcentral describes it as "tRNA-Val". Lineage: Eukaryota; Metazoa; Arthropoda; Insecta; Orthoptera; Chorotypidae. The record is from RNAcentral.